This 37-nucleotide transfer RNA is filed under the name Pristimantis cerasinus. RNAcentral's name for it is "partial tRNA-Asn". The record is from RNAcentral. Lineage: Eukaryota; Metazoa; Chordata; Amphibia; Anura; Strabomantidae.
CUAGAGAGGCAGGCCUUGAUCCUACAACAAUUUAAUU